Molecule: long non-coding RNA, 1044 nt
Filed under: Sinocyclocheilus grahami
Lineage: Eukaryota; Metazoa; Chordata; Actinopteri; Cypriniformes; Cyprinidae
Description: lncRNA (ENSSGRG00000026010.1)
Source: RNAcentral
AUUCUGGAUAACGUCCACUACCUGAUCUCAGUGCGUAACUAGUCAUAAACUCUUCCCUUUAGCUGAUUCAAUGUGAUUCUGUACAUAAGAAGUCACAUAUAGGUUGUGUCACUCCUUUCUGAGUGCACAGAAAACACUUUUAUUCCACAGAGCUCAGAGAGAUGAGCAGCAGCUCUCCAUCAUCCCAACCCUGGAUCGGCGAGCCAUGAAACAGCUGAUCCUGGAUCGCGCAACACAUCCGGAGGUCAGGGCCAUUCUAGAGAAUCUGCUGCUUUACCAAAGCCAAGACCUACCAAACUCUCCGUCAGCAGCCUUAGGAAGAGCUGGUCCACGUCUCACUGCCUUCCAGCUGCUCAGAUCUAAGUUUCUGAGGAGCGUGGCAAAGCCAGCGCUCACCCGCAGAAGAGAGGUGGGCUCUCUGAACACGAAAGAACGACAUAUUAAAGACACAAACGGGCUGAGAGCUGAUUCAAGACCCGGGAUGAAGAGAAAAGCCUCCAGGGUUCAGAACAUGCUGGAGAGAUUUACAGCAGCAGAGAACAACAACAUAAAGAAACCACAAACAAACAGACGAACAGGCAGAACCAUGUUCCGCAGUUUAAUCAAGAGAUUUGAGACUCUAGUGACGGAGCAGAGCAGAAACGAUUCUACACACAAGAUCAAGAGACACAAGAAUGAAUCAACUGAUUCACAAGAGACACUAAAGCAACACGAGAACAAAUCAACCAAUUCACAAGAAAUAUUAAAGCAACACAAGAACGAAUUGACCGAUUCAAAAGAAGCACUAAAGCAAUACGAGAACAAAUCAAUUGAUUCACUAGUACUUAAGCAACACAAGAAUGAAUCAACCGAUUCACAAGAAACACUAAAGCAACACAAGAAUGAAUCAACUUAUUCACAAGAAGCACUAAAGCAACACAAGAACAAAUCAAACAACGAACAAGAAUCACUACAGAAACACAAGAAUGAAUCAACCAAUUCACAAGAAGCACUAAAGCAACACAAGAACAAAUCAAACAACGAACAAGAAUCACUACAGAUUCU